UCGUUCUCCCCAGUCAAAAGAAUGAUUAUGAACUCGCAAUAGGGGUAUAUAUAGGUGAGGAGCGCAUCAGAAAACAGGCCCAAGUCCAACGAGCCACCGCCGGGCGGUUUAAGUGUGCCGCCCGGCGGUUUGCCACAAAUCGCACUACCGCCUGGCGGUAGGGGUCUACCGCCCGGCGGUUUCCCUCAAAUCGCAAAUCUGCCCAGCGCCAACGCCAGGUGCCUACUCCUCGCCCUGGAUCGCCCGGCGGUUUAAGUGUGCCGCCCAGCGGUGCGUCGACUCUUCAAAUCUUCAUUUUUCUGCUCUUUUCUUGAGUCAACGACCUGUAUCUUAAACUCCAUUCUUUACUUUUCUCAAAUUAGCUACAAAACAAUGCAAAACAAGCAUAAAAUCGCUAAAAACAACUUUUGACUCUCUCCAAACUCAUUUAUUGACUUUUGCUUGAGUCUAAGCUCAUUCCGAGUAGUAAAGGGUGUAAUUUGGUCCAAAUUGACAUUUGAAAAUUUGGUCCAAAUUUCUGAAAAAUCUCUUCAGAUUCUGUGCUCCUUUGUAUUGGCAUAAACUGAGGUUGUUCUGAACUUUCUGGGGCUGUUAUCAUCUCCUGUGAUAAAACAGACAAUUUCUGAAUAAUUGUCUCUAGCUGCUGGGCCAUUAUCAUAGUCUGCUUAAUCAUAGAAUUAUUUUCCUGAAUAUGCGCAACACUUUCAAUUUGUGUUUCUUCAUUGUCUGCCAUACUUUCAAUUAAUUCAUAAGCCUCAUCCUUAGUCUUUUUUUUUUAUAUCCCCUCUAGUUGCGACAUUUAACAUCAUUUUUGAGUGCAUGUUUACUCCUCCAAGGAAUGUAAGAACUAUGGUUGUCUUAUCAAACCCAUGGAUUGGGGUCUUCUUCAAUAGGCUCUUAAACCUCUCCCAUGCUUGCCCGAGGGUUUCUUUCAUGCCUUGCCUGAAUGAUGAAAUUUCCAGCCUUCCCUGUGUAACUUUGGAUUGCAGAAAAAUAUUUCUUGACAAAUUUUUCAGCCACAGUCACCCAGGUAGUGAAUGUUCCUACAGGAAAAGAAUUGAGCCAAGUCUUACGUUGCCUCCAAGUGAGAAUGGAAACAAACUAAGCUUUACUCUUUCAUCCGAAACACUUGACAUCUUCACUGUGUUGCAGAUUUCACCAAACGUUGUCAAAUGAUCAUAUGGGUUUUCAUUUGACAAGCCGUGAAAUUGGUUGCUUUGUACUAGGUGUAUAAGAGCUGGAUUCAUCACCAUGUUAGUAUUUUGGUCCACAGGCAUGGCUAUGCUAUUAAAGUGGAAAGGACCAACAACAUUGGACUGAUCUGAAAGAGUGCGUCUUGGAGGAGGUUGCUCCGCCAUCUCCUCUACUCUUCGAAUUGGUGAAGGUGAAAGUUAUCUGUUAGGAGAAGGAAAUAAAUCCCUAGAAGAACAUCUAACAAUCCUUCUUCCCCUUGUCUCACUCAAGCCUUCAAGAAGGGGUUGUGUACUUUUCUUGAUCCUAGUGUGUCUAGUCUCCUGCUGCAUGCACAAGAAACACAAACCCUAGUAGCACUUUUUUUCUUUAAAAAAAACAAUAUUUAUAAUCAAGUCAAAAUUAAUCAAUUUACACUACUCAAAAAGUUAAACCACGAUUCCCCAGCAACGGCGCCAAAAACUUGUUAAUCCCUUGGCAAGUGUACCAGAUCGUUAUAAAGUAAUAUAAUUGGUAAAUCUAAUAUCGUUCUUCCCAAAAGGACUCAAAGGCCUAAUCUUUCGUGUAACUCAAUUGCUUAAGACUUGAGAAAAGAAUUAAAUUUAAGUGUUGAAUGCAAAGAACAAAAACUANUCUGCUCUUUUCUUGAGUCAACGACCUGUAUCUUAAACUCCAUUCUUUACUUUUCUCAAAUUAGCUACAAAACAAUGCAAAACAAGCAUAAAAUCACUAAAAACAACUUUUGACUCUCUCUAGACUCAAUUAUUGAGUUUUGCUUGAUUCUAAGCUCAUUUUGAGUAGUAAAGGGUGUAAUUUGGUCCAAAUUGACAUAUGAAAAUAACUGUUUCUCAACCUUCAUCAACACCCCAAACUUAGAAUUUUUCUUGUCCUAAAGCAAAACAAAACAAAACAAUCACACAAAAGAAAACUUGGCUUUAUACUGUUUCAUCCAAUGCCUCAACAAUCCCAAGGUACAUGAUAAAACCACUCAAAUCAAUAUUCUCAGUGAAAUCCAAAAUAAGAUGCAUGCAUGCUUUCAACCCAGAGAUUGCACAAUAGAUGUUACUCAUUAUGAAUGAUCAAUCCACUAAGCAAAAAUGUACUCAUGAAAAUUAAUAAUUCAUACCAAGCAAGUGUUUCACUCAAUCACUCAAGUGUUUAAGGUGACACUCCAACUCUCUAUUGUUCACAAGUCACAUGAAACAAAAUUGCCAUUCAUCUCAAACAAUCAACAUCUUUACAUGAAAAUGCCAUCAAAAGGACUUUUCCAAAGCUUGUAAUGAGGUUGGGCUAACAAGAAAGAAUUGGUUUUUCUAGAAUGCAAAAUCCUUGAGUCAAGAGAGUUAUCAAAGUAUUCAACAUUUGAGCACAACUCUCUCACUAAUGUCUCUCAUUCCCAACUUUUCCCUUUUCUUUUUCUUUUGCAUUGAGCUCUUCUUCAUGCUUUUCUUCUUUUCUUUUCUUUUUAUCAUGAAUUUUUCUUUUCACAAUAUUUGAGCUCAAUGCUUUUCACUUGCUUUUUCAAUUUUCCCCCGUACUACCCCAAACUUGAAUCUUUUCAUUUCAUACAAUUAAGCUCAUCCCAACUCAAGGUAAAGAAUUUCAAAACAAAGGUUCACAUCCUGUUUAAGGCUAAGGUUCAAAAAGGGUAUAAUAUUUCAAACACUUUGGG
This 2863-nucleotide long non-coding RNA is filed under the name Vigna radiata. RNAcentral describes it as "long non-coding RNA (VRAD_LNC008441)". The record is from RNAcentral. Lineage: Eukaryota; Viridiplantae; Streptophyta; Magnoliopsida; Fabales; Fabaceae.